Molecule: ribosomal RNA, 476 nt
Filed under: uncultured Pseudoruegeria sp.
Lineage: Bacteria; Pseudomonadati; Pseudomonadota; Alphaproteobacteria; Rhodobacterales; Roseobacteraceae
Description: bacterial SSU rRNA
Rfam family: Bacterial small subunit ribosomal RNA
Source: RNAcentral
GUGCCAGCCGCUGCGGUAAUACGGAGGGGCUAGCGUUGUUCGGAAUUACUGGGCGUAAAGCGCACGUAGGCGGAUAUUUAAGUCAGGGGUGAAAUCCCGGGGCUCAACCCCGGAACUGCCUUUGAUACUGGGUAUCUUGAGUUCGAGAGAGGUGAGUGGAAUUCCGAGUGUAGAGGUGAAAUUCGUAGAUAUUCGGAGGAACACCAGUGGCGAAGGCGGCUCACUGGCUCGAUACUGACGCUGAGGUGCGAAAGCGUGGGAGCAAACAGGAUUAGAUACCCUGGUAGUCCACGCCGUAAACGAUGAAUGCCAGUCGUCGGUGCGCAUGCGUAUCGGUGACACACCUAACGGAUUAAGCAUUCCGCCUGGGGAGUACGGUCGCAAGAUUAAAACUCAAAGGAAUUGGAACGGGGCCCGCGACAAGCGGUGGAGCAUGGUGGUUUAAUUCGAAGCAACGCGCAGAACCUUACCACCUU